GGAAGUACGUAUGUGUGUGCAUGGACGGGGGGGAGGUGGUCAUUAUCGGCGGCCGGAAGUACGGAUAGACCCCUGACAAGGCCCAAAUUGUAAUCACUCCAGGGAAGUCCAGUCCUGGGGCUGGCCUAGGACAACAGGCAUGUCUCCCCGCAUCCAUUCAUCUAUACAUACAGACAUACAUAACCCCCCACACACCAGUCCAUUUCCUCUCGCCCUCCCCGCCACCAUACACCGACCCUCCCCC
RNAcentral lists this long non-coding RNA (244 nucleotides) under Volvox carteri. RNAcentral describes it as "long non-coding RNA (VCAR_LNC002225)". Lineage: Eukaryota; Viridiplantae; Chlorophyta; Chlorophyceae; Chlamydomonadales; Volvocaceae. The record is from RNAcentral.